UACGGAGGGCGCAAGCGUUACUCGGAAUCACUGGGCGUAAAGAGCGUGUAUGCGGAUUUAUUAGUCAGGAGUGAAAUCCUAUGGUUCAACCAUAGAACUGCUCUUGAAACUGUCUAUCUAGAAUAUGGGAGAGGUAGAUGGAAUUUCUGGUGUAGGGGUAAAAUCCGUAGAGAUCAGAAGGAAUACCGAUUGCGAAGGCGAUCUACUGGAACAUUAUUGACGCUGAGACGCGAAAGCGUGGGGAGCAAACAGGAUUAGAUACCCUGGUAGUCCACGCCCUAAACGAUGUACACUAGUUGUUGUGAGGCUCGACCUUGCAGUAAUGCAGUUAACACAUUAAGUGUACCGCCUGGGGAGUACGGUCGCAAGAUUAAAACUCAAAGGAAUAGUCGGGGACCCGCACAAGCGGUGGAGCAUGUGGUUUAAUUCGACGAUACACGAAGAACCUUACCUGGUCUUGACAUACUAAGAACCUUUAAGAGAUUAGAGGGUGCUAGCUUGCUAGAACUUAGAUACAGGUGCUGCACGGCUGUCGUCAGCUCGUGUCGUGAGAUGUUGGGUUAAGUCCCGCAACGGGCGCAACCCUCGUCGUUAGUUGCUAACAGUUCGGGUGAGAACUCUAACGAGACUGCCUUCGCAAGUAGGAGGAAGGUGAGGGCGACGUCAAGUCAUCAUGGCCCUUACGACCAUGGCUACACACGUGCUACAAUGGGGUAUUCAAAGAGCAGCAAUUCAGUGAUGUGGAGCAAAUUUCAAAAAUCCCUCCCAGUUCGGAUUGUAGUUUGCAACUCGACUACAUGAAGUUGGAAUCGCUAGUAAUUGUAGAUCAGUUAUUCUGCGGUGAAUACGUUCCCGGGUCU
RNAcentral lists this ribosomal RNA (860 nucleotides) under uncultured bacterium. Its description in RNAcentral is "SSU rRNA". It matches the Rfam family "Bacterial small subunit ribosomal RNA", at positions 524 to 1381 of the family's 1533-position model. The record is from RNAcentral.